GACGAACGCUGGCGGCGUGCUUAACACAUGCAAGUCGAACGGCAAGGCCCUGCUUUUGUGGGGUGCUCGAGUGGCGAACGGGUGAGUAACACGUGAAUAACCUGCCCUCGACUUUGGGAUAACUUCUGGAAACUGGGGUUAAUACCGGAUAGGAGCUCCUGCAGCAUGGUGGGGGUUGGACAGUUUCGGCGGUUGGGGCUGGACUCGCGGCUUAUCAGCUUGUUGGUGGGGUAGUGGCUUACCAAGGCUUUGACGGGUAGCCGGCCUGAGAGGGUGACCGGCCACAUUGGGACUGAGAUACGGCCCAGACUCCUACGGGAGGCAGCAGUGGGGAAUAGUGCACAAUGGGCGGAAGCCUGAUGCAGCAACGCCGCGUGCGGGAUGACGGCCUUCGGGUUGUAAACCGCUUUCGCCUGUGACGAAGCGUGAGUGACGGUAAUGGGUAAAGAAGCACCGGCUAACUACGUG
This 468-nucleotide ribosomal RNA is filed under the name uncultured bacterium. RNAcentral's name for it is "partial 16S ribosomal RNA". It matches the Rfam family "Bacterial small subunit ribosomal RNA", at positions 28 to 507 of the family's 1533-position model. The record is from RNAcentral.